GGCCAGACUCCUACGGGAGGCAGCAGUGGGGGAUAUUGCACAAUGGGGGGAACCCUGAUGCAGCGACGCCGCGUGGGUGAAGAAGUAUUUCGGUAUGUAAAGCCCUAUCGGCAGGGAAGAAAUUGGACGGUACCUGACUAAGAAGCCCCGGCUAACUACGUGCCAGCAGCCGCGGUAAUACGUAGGGGGCAAGCGUUAUCCGGAUUCACUGGGUGUAAGGGGAGCGUAGACGGCCAUGCAAGCCUGGAGUGAAAGCCCGGGGCCCAACCCCGGGACUGCUCUGGGAACUGUACGGCUGGAGUGCGGGAGGGGCAGGCGGAAUUCCUGGUGUAGCGGUGAAAUGCGUAGAUAUCAGGAGGAACACCGGCGGCGAAGGCGGCCUGCUGGACCGCGACUGACGUUGAGGCUCGAAAGCGUGGGGAGCAAACAGGAUUAGAUACCCCGGUA
This 447-nucleotide ribosomal RNA is filed under the name uncultured bacterium. Its description in RNAcentral is "bacterial SSU rRNA". It matches the Rfam family "Bacterial small subunit ribosomal RNA", at positions 329 to 792 of the family's 1533-position model. The record is from RNAcentral.